This 66-nucleotide transfer RNA is filed under the name Tenerus hilleri. Its description in RNAcentral is "tRNA-Ser". Lineage: Eukaryota; Metazoa; Arthropoda; Insecta; Coleoptera; Cleridae. The record is from RNAcentral.
GAAAUAUGAAACCCAAGAUUAAGCUUCUAACUUAAAUCUUAAGCAGUGAAAUCUGUUUAUAUUUCU